UACGAAGGGGGCUAGCGUUGCUCGGAAUCACUGGGCGUAAAGGGUGCGUAGGCGGGUCUUAAGUCAGGGGUGAAAUCCUGGAGCUCAACUCCAGAACUGCCUUUGAUACUGAAGAUCUUGAGUUCGGGAGAGGUGAGUGGAACUGCGAGUGUAGAGGUGAAAUUCGUAGAUAUUCGCAAGAACACCAGUGGCGAAGGCGGCUCACUGGCCCGAUACCUGACGCUGAUGCACGAAAGCGUGGGGAGCAAACAGG
Molecule: ribosomal RNA, 253 nt
Filed under: uncultured bacterium
Lineage: Bacteria
Description: partial 16S ribosomal RNA
Rfam family: Bacterial small subunit ribosomal RNA
Source: RNAcentral